Oreochromis aureus is the source of this 1857-nucleotide long non-coding RNA. Lineage: Eukaryota; Metazoa; Chordata; Actinopteri; Cichliformes; Cichlidae. The record is from Ensembl.
GCACUUAGUUAAAAAGUAGUUUUAUCUUUAGGAAAAAUUAGAUUUUUACUGAACUAAAAUUAAAGCCUAAAUGAAACUAAAAAUUUUAAAAGUGCAAAACAUAACAUCUCUUUUUUUUUAAAAAACUAAAUGUAUUUAUGUAUAAUUGGAAAGCCUAACCCUGUUAAGGAUUCAGCUCUUAAUGGAGGUAGCGCUGUUUAAAUCACUGGGUCUAAUUUGGAACUUCAAGGCCCAGAAGCCCUGCUGAUUUUCACCCCGAGGUCCAGAAAUACACUGAUUUACAGCUGGGACACCUGGAGUUACGAGUUAGGGGAUAACUCACUGCAGCACACACUUAAAUUCACAGUUUAGAUAUCAUUUCCUUACUAAGUGUAGAGGUUUAUGAUCAGAUUGCUAAUUGGCUGCCCAUCUGGAAAAUCUUUUGUUAUUGUCAUACAGAUAAAAAUCCAGUCCAUAAAUUUGGAGGGCUCAAAAGAGACUGAUAAGUCUCUAAUGGUAUAUAUACUCUAAAAACAAUCCUAGAUUUCAUUAAACCAUCUCGACCUUUUAAAUGUUUCCUCGUUUUAUACUCCACACAUUCAGAUUAAAGACUAAAGCAAUCCAUUAAAAAUAAAACCACUAAUGCUCAGUUACUGUAGAGUUGACAACAGGGAAACAUCAGUAUCUACAUUGGCUCUUAUUAUUACAUCAGUCUGGGAAUGCCAAACAGCUAAGGAUGCACCACAUCAGCUAAAGGGUGACAUUCCACAUGAUUAAACCCAGCUUGAGCACCUAUGGGCGUUAGAGCAAUCAUAAAAGUAAUUCUGAGAGCAGAGACUUGGUAAGUGAGAGUCCAUGGUUUUAAAAAAGGUCAAACAUGGUCAAACAAACUUUGUGUAAUUACUGUCACAGCCAGAGGAGGGAGACAAAACUUAACCACCACAGGUUCAACAUGGGAAACAUCCCCAGCUGUACCAUCCACCCCACUUCUGAUGUAAAUGCACCUCCAACACUAAUAACCUUUAUCAGGGUAACUUUAUCUAGAAGAAGUUUCAUACAGAAUCUCACAAUCCUUUCUAACAUGAAGGGUCAACUACACUUCUCAUUUAAUAUUAGUAAGAACCCACUUUAUAACACAUAAUUACGCACUGAAAAGGUUAAAUGGUGCUUUGUGUCAAUGUAAAAGCUAAUCAAAGUGACAGUAAUACAAAGGGAAAUGUUUGGCAAAGGUGACUAGCCUGAUGUAGGUGUUAGAGCAUCUCUGUGUGCUUGUUUCACAUCAUAGCAGCCUUCAGAUCGAGCAUGAGCCUCCUCUUUUCUCAUUUUUCACACCUUUGCUCUGUUCUCCUGCCUGCCUCUGUGUGAAUCCCUCUAACAGCAUAACGUGAAUCAGAAAAAGGAAAAGGGGGUAGAAGAAGAAGAAGAAAGAGGAGGAAGAGGAGGAGGAAGAAAGAGGGAUUUUUACUCUUCUUUAGUGUCUGAAUGAGGGUGGAUGACUCGGGGAAUGCUGCUUCUCCCGCUUUGCAUUGUUACGAAUCCUUCUGUAUUUUUGUCAAGUCUUUAGUUUCUACCUCCCCUUGGCAUUUUCACUGUUUUUGUUUGUUUUGGUUGGUAUUUUAGUUUGUUUUGGGUUUUUUUGUAUUUGAAUCUAUAUUUACUGUUUAGACUGUUGCUGAACCUCUCUGUGAUAUCAAAAUGACAGAAAAUUGACAAAAAAAACACCAAGUGUCUUAAAAUAUUGUAUCGCCAUCGUUUUUAAUGCCAAGUAAUACUUGUAAAUGUUUGUGUAUCAAAUGUGGCCUCAAAGGAAACUGAACUAUAUUAUUAUUAAUAUUAAUAUUAUUUGAGCAGUUAUUUUAAACAAGUGCUGUAGACCAC